ACGUUAGCGGCGGACGGGUGAGUAACACGUGGGUAACCUACCUAUAAGACUGGGAUAACUUCGGGAAACCGGAGCUAAUAUCGGAUAAUAUUUCGAACCGCAUGGUUCGAUAGUGAAAGAUGGUUUUGCUAUCACUUAUAGAUGGACCCGCGCCGUAUUAGCUAGUUGGUAAGGUAACGGCUUACCAAGGCGACGAUACGUAGCCGACCUGAGAGGGUGAUCGGCCACACUGGAACUGAGACACGGUCCAGACUCCUACGGGAGGCAGCAGAC
Molecule: ribosomal RNA, 273 nt
Filed under: uncultured Staphylococcus sp.
Lineage: Bacteria; Bacillati; Bacillota; Bacilli; Caryophanales; Staphylococcaceae
Description: partial 16S ribosomal RNA
Rfam family: Bacterial small subunit ribosomal RNA
Source: RNAcentral